This 260-nucleotide unclassified non-coding RNA is filed under the name Hevea brasiliensis (rubber tree). The record is from RNAcentral. Lineage: Eukaryota; Viridiplantae; Streptophyta; Magnoliopsida; Malpighiales; Euphorbiaceae.
UUGGUCUCACAGCAGCCAAGCUCACAUCAGCAGUAUCAGGAUACAUUAACUGAGGGAGCGGUGAGGUGAUUGAACCCUUUUGCAGAAGACCAUGCUGACUAGCAUCCGCAGCAAUCACAUUUUCUUGCUUCAUUGGACCAUAAGCAUGUAAACUAUUGGAAGGCCUUCCAACAGCAAAAGGAAGUUCCAUAGUUUUCAUGGAGACAGUUUUUUGUGCAUCUUGCAAUGGUAAUAUCUGCCCAUUUUUAAAGGUGCCAUAC